GAUGAAGAACGUAGCGAAAUGCGAUAAGUAAGGUGAAUUGCAGAAUUCAGUGAAUCAUCGAAUCUUUGAACGCACAUUGCGCCCCCUGGUAUUACGGGGGGCAUGCCUGUUCGAGCGUCAUUUCACCACUCAAGCCUCGCUUGGUAUUGGGCAACGCGGUCCGCCGCGUGCCUCAAAUCGACCGGCUGGGUCUUCUGUCCCCUAAGCGUUGUGGAAACUAUUCGCUAAAGGGUGUUCGGGAGGCUACGCCGUAAAACAACCCCAUUUCUAAGGUUGACCUCGGAUCAGGUAGGGAUACCCGCUGAACUUAAGCAUAUCAAUAAGCGGAGGA
Molecule: unclassified non-coding RNA, 331 nt
Filed under: soil metagenome
Description: partial contains 5.8S ribosomal RNA, internal transcribed spacer 2, and large subunit ribosomal RNA
Rfam family: 5.8S ribosomal RNA (bases 1-120)
Source: RNAcentral